Molecule: ribosomal RNA, 253 nt
Filed under: uncultured bacterium
Lineage: Bacteria
Description: partial 16S ribosomal RNA
Rfam family: Bacterial small subunit ribosomal RNA
Source: RNAcentral
CAGAGGGUGCAAGCGUUAAUCGGAAUUACUGGGCGUAAAGCGCGCGUAGGUGGUUGUUAAGUUGGAUGUGAAAUCCCCGGGCUCAACCUGGGAACUGCAUUCAAACUAGACUGACUAGAGUAUGGUAGAGGGUGGUGGAAUUUCCUGUGUAGCGGUGAAAUGCGUAGAUAUAGGAAGGAACACCAGUGGCGAAGGCGACCACCUGGACUAAUACUGACACUGAGGUGCGAAAGCGUGGGGAGCAAACAGGAUU